Long non-coding RNA from Musa acuminata AAA Group (dessert banana), 639 nucleotides. RefSeq lists it as uncharacterized. Lineage: Eukaryota; Viridiplantae; Streptophyta; Magnoliopsida; Zingiberales; Musaceae. The record is from RefSeq and is a predicted model, not a curated record. The transcript is spliced from 3 exons.
UAGCUCAUUCGCCGGCCCGCUCUUUACCGGAAGAUCGGAGGAGGUCGCGACCCCAACAGCGAGGCAUUGCGGGUCAAUUGGCGCUUGCGUCGGAUUCCUCCUCAUGAUGCUCCUCCGCCGCUGCGGCGAACCUCGUGCCUCGGCGGGGCCUUGCCGGUGGUGGAAAUCAUCAGGGACCACCUAAGGUUAACAUGCGGGAAGACCCACUCAGUCCAUCUAAAUGGAAGGAAGAACAUGUGGGUGAAAAAAUGGUGCACUAGAUUUGCCAGGAUGCCCAGCCUUUCCAUUAAUUCAAAGUCGCUUGCAAUAAAGCAUCAGAGAGACAUGGCUUUCCUUGGAGAAAUCCGAAGUUAUGGCUCAUCCUUUGGGAAAUCUGAGAGACAUGGCUUGCAAUAAAUCAUCUGUAAUUUUGUUGGCUGCCGAUGUAGGAGGGAUUUUGCAAUCCUCGGAAUAACCACAAUCCUAUUGAGUUGCAACGAUUAUUUGCCUUUGGCACUCGACCUUCUUAUGGUUUGUACUUGAUGUAAAGCUCUUUUCUUGGUUCAUGAUUAAAUGUCUCUGUUAAAUGGAAAAAUCACAAAAAUAUUACAGUGCAUGUGUUUCCAAAAAUUAUGUGAUACAAUUAUGUUUAUUUGAGCA